This 406-nucleotide ribosomal RNA is filed under the name uncultured bacterium. Its description in RNAcentral is "bacterial SSU rRNA". It matches the Rfam family "Bacterial small subunit ribosomal RNA", at positions 29 to 449 of the family's 1533-position model. The record is from RNAcentral.
AACGAACGCUGGCGGCAUGCCUAACACAUGCAAGUCGAACGGGAAGUGCCUUUCGGGCACUGAGAGUGGCGGACGGGUGAGUAGCGCGUGGGGAUCUGCCUUUGAGAGGGGAUAACUGCGGGAAACUGCAGCUAAUACCGCAUAACGCCUGAGGGCGAAAGGAGCAAUCCGCUUGAAGAGGAGCCCGCGUCGGAUUAGGUAGUUGGUGGGGUAACGGCCUACCAAGCCAACGAUCCGUAGCUGGUCUGAGAGGAUGAUCAGCCACACUGGGACUGAGACACGGCCCAGACUCCUACGGGAGGCAGCAGUGGGGAAUAUUGGACAAUGGGGGGAAACCCUGAUCCAGCAAUGCCGCGUGAGUGAAGAAGGCCUUCGGUUGGUAAAACUACUUUUGGUCAGGGAAGGA